UUAAACUGAAGAGUUUGAUCAUGGCUCAGAUUGAACGCUGGCGGCAGGCCUAACACAUGCAAGUCGAGCGGAAACGAUCCUAGCUUGCUAGGAGGCGUCGAGCGGCGGACGGGUGAGUAACGCAUAGGAAUCUGCCCGGUAGUGGGGGAUAACCUGGGGAAACCCAGGCUAAUACCGCAUACGUCCUACGGGGGAAAGCAGGGGCUCUUCGGACCUUGCGCUAUCGGAUGAGCCUAUGUCGGAUUAGCUGGUUGGUGAGGUAAUGGCUCACCAAGGCGACGAUCCGUAGCUGGUCUGAGAGGAUGAUCAGCCACAUCGGGACUGAGACACGGCCCGAACUCCUACGGGAGGCAGCAGUGGGGAAUAUUGGACAAUGGGCGCAAGCCUGAUCCAGCCAUGCCGCGUGUGUGAAGAAGGCCUUCGGGUUGUAAAGCACUUUCAGUGGGGAAGAAAUCCUCGGGGCUAAUACCCUCGAGGGAGGACAUCACCCACAGAAGAAGCACCGGCUAACUCCGUGCCAGCAGCCGCGGUAAUACGGAG
RNAcentral lists this ribosomal RNA (540 nucleotides) under Halomonas shengliensis. RNAcentral's name for it is "bacterial SSU rRNA". It matches the Rfam family "Bacterial small subunit ribosomal RNA", at positions 1 to 530 of the family's 1533-position model. Lineage: Bacteria; Pseudomonadati; Pseudomonadota; Gammaproteobacteria; Oceanospirillales; Halomonadaceae. The record is from RNAcentral.